Molecule: unclassified non-coding RNA, 156 nt
Filed under: soil metagenome
Description: partial internal transcribed spacer 1
Source: RNAcentral
CCGAGUUUACAACUCCCAAACCCCUGUGAACAUACCUAUCGUUGCUUCGGCGGAUCGCCCCAGUUGACGCCAUCUGGACCGGAUCAGGCGCCCGCCGGAGGACCCAAACUCUUGUAUUUAUUUAUGUAUCUUCUGAGUAAACAAGCAAAUAAAUUA